This 631-nucleotide long non-coding RNA is filed under the name Medicago truncatula (barrel medic). RNAcentral's name for it is "lncRNA gene35948". Lineage: Eukaryota; Viridiplantae; Streptophyta; Magnoliopsida; Fabales; Fabaceae. The record is from RNAcentral.
UUGAAAAACAUACUGUUUAUGAGUUACAUGCUAUAGCGUAGUAGAAAGAGCGGACAAACAGGCACGGGAGUGCCCGUCUGAACGCUAGUCCAAAUAAAGAGAGAAGAAUAUAAUCUAAAUAAUAUGUGCUGCUGUCUUAUUUCAUUUCAUUAUCAUUAUUUUAGAGUGCAAAUAUAAAUCUAAAAAGUUCUUCAAAUUCUAAAAAGAAAAAAAAAAUUAAUUUAUUGGGUUGUGAGAAAAUAACUAAAUGACAGCUCGUGGAAUAUUGUAGGAGCAUUUGUGUACUAUUUGGGGUCUAGAAAUAAAUGAAGAAUCAUGUGAGCACACGAUUUGUUUCCUUCCCUAUCGGAUAACAUUUAAUUACUCCAUACUCACAUAUCGGUUCCAUACCAGGGGGACACCUAUUUAGUAGAUCAUCAGGACAAGUAACGAGACAUGGAUUACACCCUAUAAUAAAAGAGAGAGAAUAAAAAGUGUGAAUAAAAUAGUUCAAUAUUUUGUGUAUGAAGUAGUGAAGAAAAAUUUAAAUGGUUAGAAAUGACUUACCUCCAGCAUUCGUUGCAACCAGAAAUAAGGAAAAAAAGAUAAUCAUAUUAUAAACAAAAUUGAUAAUUUUAGCCAUAUCUCCCUC